RNAcentral lists this unclassified non-coding RNA (538 nucleotides) under Hevea brasiliensis (rubber tree). The record is from RNAcentral. Lineage: Eukaryota; Viridiplantae; Streptophyta; Magnoliopsida; Malpighiales; Euphorbiaceae.
GUGGAAGCCAGUUUCAUAUUUGAAAUUUAUUUGUGAAGCCAACAUAACAACCUAAUUUGGCCAACAAUGCUAAUUCUAAUUUUUGCAGUGUAAUAUGAUGUUUAGAAAUAUUGUAGCAGCAUAAUGAUGUUUAGAAAUAUUGGAACUAGGUUUUGUUUACUGUUUUAAUAUGUGUGUGUGCAUAUUUUAAUCUUGGUUCUAAAUACUUGGAAAGGGUUUGAGGGUUAUUUUUGUGGUAAGAUUGAAGUUAGAUCUUGAGUUUUAAUUUUAUUUGGUCUUACAAACCUAAUAUAGAAAGAAUCAGGCAAAUCGAUAGAUUCAUUUUGGUUCGCUGAUUUUGGCCUCAAUUCAAGCAUAUUUGCAAUUCAGUCAGCCUUUAAUCGAAUUGCUAGGGUGUGGAAUCAACUCGAAUCAUGCAUUUCUAAAAACUAUGAUAACUGCAUUUUUGUCCCACGUUGGUUUAGCCACUGCUUCUACCUCAAGAUAGAUAAGAGCAUUUAUUUUGGAUUAUAACUUAUUGAUUUGAAUGUUUUCUGAU